This is a long non-coding RNA of Lynx canadensis (Canada lynx), 121 nucleotides long. RefSeq lists it as uncharacterized. Lineage: Eukaryota; Metazoa; Chordata; Mammalia; Carnivora; Felidae. The transcript is spliced from 3 exons. The record is from RefSeq and is a predicted model, not a curated record.
AGAAAAACAAUGGACAGAGGAGACCACUGUGAUUAUUAUGAGCAGAAUAAUUCCCAGUGUUUGGAGUGCACUUUGGAGCCAUGGUCUCCAAGACCCAACCCAGUCAAAAUCAAGUAAGUGA